UGCAGGACAGUGAACCCAGACCUGCCCUAAAGCACUUCAGAUUUAAGAGAUUGUCUUUACAUCUGUAUAUUCUGCCCUAUAUCCAAUCUGUCUAAAUUAG
Molecule: non-coding RNA, 100 nt
Organism: Tinamus guttatus (white-throated tinamou)
Lineage: Eukaryota; Metazoa; Chordata; Aves; Tinamiformes; Tinamidae
Source: RefSeq, a predicted model, not a curated record